This 146-nucleotide ribosomal RNA is filed under the name Trichoderma afroharzianum. RNAcentral describes it as "partial large subunit ribosomal RNA". Lineage: Eukaryota; Fungi; Ascomycota; Sordariomycetes; Hypocreales; Hypocreaceae. The record is from RNAcentral.
CGUCUAGGCCAGCAUCAGUUCGUCGCGGGGGAAAAAGGCUUCGGGAACGUGGCUCCUCCGGGAGUGUUAUAGCCCGUUGCAUAAUACCCUGCGGUGGACUGAGGACCGCGCAUCUGCAAGGAUGCUGGCGUAAUGGUCACCAGCGA